This 73-nucleotide transfer RNA is filed under the name Pareas boulengeri. Its description in RNAcentral is "tRNA-Asn". The record is from RNAcentral. Lineage: Eukaryota; Metazoa; Chordata; Lepidosauria; Squamata; Pareidae.
UAGACUAAGGUCCGUCGGCUUGGACAACUGAUUGUUAAUUAGUUCUUUGUGGGAUCAAAGCCUACUAGUCUAG